GGACCCGCACAAGCGGUGGAGCAUGUGGUUUAAUUCGAUGCAACGCGAAAAACCUUACCUAUACUUGACAUACUUGGAAUGCUUUGUAAUGAAGCAGUGCCUUCGGGAGCCAGGAUACAGGUGCUGCAUGGCUGUCGUCAGCUCGUGUCGUGAGAUGUUCCGUUAAGUCGGAUAACGAGCGCAACCCUUACCCUUAUUUGCCAGCGAUUCGGUCGGGAACUAUAAGGGGACUGCCGGUGAUAAACCGGAGGAAGGUGAGGACGACGUCAAGUCAUCAUGGCCCUUACGUAUAGGGCUACACACGUCUACAAUGGGGAAAUUACAGACGGACGCUAAGCCGCGAGGUGGUGCUAA
Molecule: ribosomal RNA, 354 nt
Filed under: uncultured bacterium
Lineage: Bacteria
Description: bacterial SSU rRNA
Rfam family: Bacterial small subunit ribosomal RNA
Source: RNAcentral